GGAACGAAGAAGGUAACGCGAUUUAGAUCCCUAGGGUUUCAGAUUUGGGUAUAAUGAGUUCAUAUAAGGUUCACGUGAGUUCACGUGAUACUCACGUGCUUCCCUCUCUCCUCAUAUCUCCUUUUUCUCUCCAACUAGACGUCCACGUAAGCCUCCUCCAUUAAGAAAUAAACGGUAGGACUAACGUUGCACACGACCUACAACGUCGGGGACCAUCCAUGUAAUUAAAUUAGGUGGGGGACCAAAAUCGUGGCAUUGGUAAACGUCGGGGACCAAAGUUGUAAUUAAGCCAACCUUUUUUAUUCGCUAUUUUUCAAACAGCUUUGGUAUAUACAACACUUUCAAUUCGUUUUUCAUAUUUAGCCACUGAUUCUUCUCAAUAUUUCAUUUCAGUCUCCGUUCUUAGCAUGUUGGGUCGUUCUUCAAUUUUGUCUUAUUCCAUUCAGGAUGUGGGAUUGCAGAGGCAAAUGAGUAUCACUUUAUUUGAACUUCAGACCAAGUCAAUUCAAAGGAUUUUGGAGAGUUUUGUUUAUGUCGUUGAAUGCUAAAAUGAUCAGUGAGUAAACCCUGCACAUUGGAUUGUUCUAAUGAGAAAAAGUAGCACUAAGACUGAAGACUUCAAUGU
Lotus japonicus is the source of this 625-nucleotide long non-coding RNA. RefSeq lists it as uncharacterized. The record is from RefSeq and is a predicted model, not a curated record. NCBI's taxonomy places the organism in Eukaryota, Viridiplantae, Streptophyta, Magnoliopsida, Fabales, Fabaceae. The transcript has 3 exons.